AGAAGCUUAGGUUCACCUAAACCGAAGGCCUUCAAAGCCUUAAACAAGAGUUAGACCCUCUUAGUUUCUG
This 70-nucleotide transfer RNA is filed under the name Garrulax ocellatus (spotted laughingthrush). Its description in RNAcentral is "tRNA-Trp". It matches the Rfam family "tRNA". Rfam says of the family: Transfer RNA (tRNA) molecules are approximately 80 nucleotides in length. Lineage: Eukaryota; Metazoa; Chordata; Aves; Passeriformes; Leiothrichidae. The record is from RNAcentral.